Long non-coding RNA from Rosa chinensis, 263 nucleotides. RefSeq lists it as uncharacterized. The transcript has 3 exons. The record is from RefSeq and is a predicted model, not a curated record. NCBI's taxonomy places the organism in Eukaryota, Viridiplantae, Streptophyta, Magnoliopsida, Rosales, Rosaceae.
GAAAUCAUUGACAGUGCACCUGAUGAUGAUAGGACUUCAUUCCGUGAGGAAGUUGCAAGAAUGGCGAUGAAGAUGCUAGACAGUGUUUUUGGUGAUGAUAUUAGGGAGGAAAUGGGACUGCUACCUCAUUUUACUGAUCUUCCAUUCAUGGAUAAGCACAACCACCCGGUUCAAAGAAACUCGUUCGACUGUGGUGUGUUUGUAAUAAGAAACAUGCAGCAUUAUGGCACACAAUGGAAUGAGGGUUAUGUUUCAGAUGAGCA